CAUUGGGUGACUACGUGAAAUGGGAGGAAUGGUGGUACAAGUACCAAGAGUGGUUGAAGCGUGAGCGAGCCUACGAGAGAUGGGCUGACGCUGAUCAAGGCACCAUCCGGCGCGAGCGUCGCCGGCGAGGGGGCCGCCACCGGCGCAGCUGAGGCCACGCCGCCCCCGCGGCCGUCCUACAGGUGGACCUGGCCGAGGGGGCGCCCCGCCUUUAAAUGGUGUGGCACUCUCAUGCCGACGCGUUUGCGCAUUGUGUUAACAGCAGUGCAUUCUAGACUUUCAAACGUUAAUCGGGUGAUAAAAACAGACAUUUAUUUACUUCUGCUUUGUGCAAUUAUAAUCAAAAACAUAUUAUGGUUUUCGUCGCUUCAUUCUUUAAGUAUAAUUUAAUUUACCACGUACUCUUUAUCAUUAUAAAUUUGUCUAUAAUAAUUAGAUUAUUUUUUGUGAAAAUGACAAAAUAGCCACGGACAUAAGAUCUCGACCCCAAGUCUGGUAAUCAUAAAUCGUCUCUGUUGUGUGUAGACAGAGUGUCAAUUGCUGGAUUUGGUACGUUAAGUAUUCUGCUAAAAGUUAAAAGUACACAACAAAGUAAGUCAACUGCAUUGCAAUUUUUUGGUAUUCUGCUCUUCAAUAGCAUAGUAUGUUAGUAUUAUAUAUCGACCCAUCCUACGUUAAGUAUCGUAUGUCGAUAUAUUUAAUUUAAAGAUAAAUUACUGAAUAAAGCAGAAAAAAAUUAAGAUAUGCUUAGUAAUGUCUAUGGUAGUUUUAGUAGGGCAACAUCGAUCGUUAGUGAUUCAAUUAAUGAAUGCCUUCUCCGCCAUUCCACUGACACUCAAUGAGACUCAACUGUCAUUGUAUUGCAACUAGAUUUUAGCAGAAUCGUCGCCUUAUUUUCUCCAACUCGUACCUUAAGGCAAAAAGUUACUGAAAUGCAAAAAAUGUGUU
Molecule: long non-coding RNA, 948 nt
Organism: Hyposmocoma kahamanoa
Lineage: Eukaryota; Metazoa; Arthropoda; Insecta; Lepidoptera; Cosmopterigidae
Exons: 3
Source: RefSeq, a predicted model, not a curated record